Molecule: long non-coding RNA, 1943 nt
Filed under: Marmota monax (woodchuck)
Lineage: Eukaryota; Metazoa; Chordata; Mammalia; Rodentia; Sciuridae
Source: RNAcentral
UGUAUUAAUAUGCUACAUUAGUAGAUGAAAGGAGAAAAAGCCAUUGAUGCCAAAAAGUUUCUUGGUUGAAUUAAGCCUUGAAGUUGGAUAGAUUCUCCUGAUGCCAAAAAGUUUCUUGGUUUAAAUUUUCAAAUGUGGAUACUAUUGAUAUUUCUUUGACCCACUGGUUCUACUUCUAGGGAUUUAUUACAUAGAACUACUUGCACCAGCGCAAGACUGUUCUGCAGUGUUCCAUGUAAGAGCAAAUCUUUAGAAGUAACUUGAAUAUCCAUGAACUGGGGACUGGUUAAAUAAAUCAUGACAUAUUUACCAGAUAGCACACUAAGAUGUUAAAGUGACUGUGAUGUAUCUUAAGGUAUUGGUUUGGAGUGACUUCUCCCGGUUUGGAGUGACUUUUGCUGUUUUUUUGAGCUUUCUAUUAAUUGAAACAUAUACUGUGUUCUCUUGCAUUGUCUUCUACUCAAGGUUAUGGUUGUAAAGUUCAUCAUUGCUGAGAGCAAUGGUAGUUGGUUUAUUCUCAUUGCUGUGAAUACAUCAAAGUUUCAUAACUUUAAUUAUUCAGAGCUUAAGUUUGUUUUCUAGUUAGAAAAAAAACAGUUUUAAAAAAAAUAAAAUUUGAUGGCAGUUACAUCUCAAAUUGGAUGUGUUUUAUAACUUGGAAUUUUUACACAACAUUAGUCCAACCUGGGAUUUCUAACCUGGGAUUCAUUCUCCCGUCUUCUUCAUCUCCUUUUGGUUUCUCUCCUUUGGGUCUUUGGUCAUUAGUGUCACCACAGUAAAGGGAAGAGGAAACAGGAAGGAGAUGAAAUCUGAAUCUCUUAAUUGUCUUCUCAUUGCUGCUGUGGCUAAGGAUGGUUUAAAGUAAAUUAGCUUUUUUAUUAAUGUACCCCUCCCAGGAGCUGUGAUGCUGGUGCUCAAAUAGAAUUUCUAGUACAUAAUCAGUGUUAUUGUGGUCAGUGUCUUGUUUAGUCUGGAAUUCUAGACUUUUGGCUGUAUUUGACAUCCAUUUACUUAGGUUUAAUCAUAAUUUUAGAGGUAAAGAUUUCUUUAGAGCCGCUCUGAACAGGUUUGCACCUGCUGGUGAGGAGGCAGUGUCUGUAGGGGUCUCUCUCCUCCACACGGUGGCAGUGGUGGGGCCCAAUCCAGAGCUGACUCCUGGUGCUCCUUUUAGAGGCAUGCUGCCUCUCUAGGUCAAGAGCCCUUUUGAUGGGCUGGGGAUAUAGCUCAGUGGGUAGCUUGCAGGCACAAGGCCCUGGGGGUUUGAUCAAAAAAAAAAAAAAAAAAGGCCUUUUGAACUCCUUUACAAAAGCUGUUAGCAGUCGUGUUCUAUUGUUCGCUUGUUCCCAGUACUCUGGGGACUUUAAGUUGUUAAGCAAUUUGGAAUUGAUUUUUUUUUUUUUGGAUCGGGGGAGGUUCCAGAGAUUGAACUCAGGGGUAUUCAACCACUGAGCCACAUCCGCAGCCCUAUUUUGUAUUUUAUUUAGAGACAGGGUCUCACUGAGUUGCUUAGCAGCUCAAUUUUUGCUGAGGCUGGCUUUGAACUCAUGAUCCUCCUGCCUGAGCCCUCCUGAGCCACUGGGAUCACAGGCGUGUGCCACCGUGCCUGGCUUAACUUUGAUUUUUAUACCUAGUCCUGGGCAGUGUAGCCCUUUCUUGUUUUUUUUUGUUUUUGUUUUUUGUUUUUUGUGGGUUUUUAAAAAACUUCUUCAAAUAGGUGAGUUGAUUUUUGUUUCUUUUUGUUUUCCCACUUUUUUUUUUGGGGGGGGGAACACCAGGGAUUGAACUCAGGGACACUCGACCACUGAGCCACAUCCCCAGCCCUAUUUUGUAUUUUCUUUAGAGACAGGGUCUCACUGAGUUGCUUAGCACCUUGCUUUUGCUGAGGCUGGGCUUUGAACUGGCGAUCCUCCUGCCUCUGCCUCCUGAGCCCCUGGGAUUACUGG